CCCUUAGAUGUUCUGGGCUGCACACGCGCUACACUGACGAAUGCAACGAGCUUAUAACCUUGGCCGAAAGGUCUGGGUAAUCUCCAAAUUUCGUCGUGAUGGGGAUAGAUUAUUGCAAUUAUUAAUCUUCAACGAGGAAUGCCUAGUAAGCGCAAGUCAUCAGCUUGCGUUGAUUACGUCCCUGCCCUUUGUACACACCGCCCGUCGCUCCUACCGAUUGAAUGGUCCGGUGAAGCGUUCGGACCGUGGCCUUUGGACGGUUCGCCGUCUGUUGGCUGCGGGAAGUUCGUUAAACCUUAUCAUUUAGAGGAAGGAGAAGUCGUANCA
RNAcentral lists this ribosomal RNA (327 nucleotides) under uncultured eukaryote. RNAcentral's name for it is "partial 18S ribosomal RNA". It matches the Rfam family "Eukaryotic small subunit ribosomal RNA", at positions 1470 to 1796 of the family's 1831-position model. The record is from RNAcentral.